AUUGAACGCUGGCGGCAGGCCUAACACAUGCAAGUCGAACGGUAACAGGAAGAAGCUUGCUUCUUUGCUGACGAGUGGCGGACGGGUGAGUAAUGUCUGGGAAACUGCCUGAUGGAGGGGGAUAACUACUGGAAACGGUAGCUAAUACCGCAUAACGUCGCAAGACCAAAGAGGGGGACCUUCGGGCCUCUUGCCACCGGAUGUGCCCAGAUGGGAUUAGCUAGUAGGUGGGGUAACGGCUCACCUAGGCGACGAUCCCUAGCUGGUCUGAGAGGAUGACCAGCCACACUGGAACUGAGACACGGUCCAGACUCCUACGGGAGGCAGCAGUGGGGAAUAUUGCACAAUGGGCGCAAGCCUGAUGCAGCCAUGCCGCGUGUAUGAAGAAGGCCUUCGGGUUGUAAAGUACUUUCAGCGGGGAGGAAGGGAGUAAAGUUAAUACCUUGGCUCAUUGACGUUACCCGCAGAAGAAGCACCGGCUAACUCCGUG
Molecule: ribosomal RNA, 490 nt
Filed under: uncultured bacterium
Lineage: Bacteria
Description: partial 16S ribosomal RNA
Rfam family: Bacterial small subunit ribosomal RNA
Source: RNAcentral